Molecule: ribosomal RNA, 253 nt
Filed under: uncultured bacterium
Lineage: Bacteria
Description: partial 16S ribosomal RNA
Rfam family: Bacterial small subunit ribosomal RNA
Source: RNAcentral
UACGAAGGGGGCUAGCGUUGCUCGGACUCACUGGGCGUAAAGGGUGCGUAGGCGGGGCUUUAAGUCAGGGGUGAAAUCCUGGAGCUCAACUCCAGAACUGCCUUUGAUACUGAAGAUCUUGAGUUCGGGAGAGGUGAGUGGAACUGCGAGUGUAGAGGUGAAAUUCGUAGAUAUUCGCAAGAACACCAGUGGCGAAGGCGGCUCACUGGCCCGAUACUGACGCUGAGGCACGAAAGCGUGGGGAGCAAACAGG